UUGUUUAUUUAAUUUAUUUUCAGAUUUCGACAUGAUUAAAAGAAUUUGAUUGCAGGCUACUGACAAGCGCUAGCCAAAGGUUCAAAACCCUCGGCAGUCCGGUUAAAGACGGGCUCGCCAAAGCAACAUGGUAGUUAUACAAAGGGUUGGAGGUCGGGCCUGAAAGACCCUAACUCAUUAAUGAUCCUUCCGCAGGUUCACCUACGGAAA
RNAcentral lists this unclassified non-coding RNA (210 nucleotides) under uncultured fungus. RNAcentral's name for it is "sequence contains ITS1". Lineage: Eukaryota; Fungi. The record is from RNAcentral.